CCAUUUUGAAAGAAAUGGAAAUAGAAUAAAAAUAUGAUAACAUAUAGAACAGGCUAAUUUGCGCAAGAGUGUACAAAAUGAGUGCGCGGUUUGGCACCUCGAUGUCGGCUUAACUUAUCCUCAUGGACGCAGGAACUAUGUAGGGUGCGACUGUUCGUCGAUUAAAAAGUUACAUGAGCUGGGUUAAAUACGUCGUGAGACAGUAUGGUUUCUAUCUUCUAGGGGGAAUUAGAAUAAAAUAAGAACUAACUUUUGUACGCAAGGAACAAGAAGAGUUUAACAUUGUUAAACUAUGGUUACUAACCUAUGGUUUACCUGUUGUUUAUGUGCCCAAAUAUUAAAUUUAUAUACUUUUAUAUAUAUUUCUGUAUUAUUUCGGUAAUACAUAGGGAUGUAUCUUUUACUAAGAUAAUGUAUAGCAUAAGCACGGCAGGAAAGCUAAGUUGGUUAAGGAUAAGUGCUGAAAGCAUAUAGGCACGAAGCUUAUCUUAAGAUAUUUCUUAAAUAUACGUAGCAUAAUACUACAAAUUUAUAGGCUUUAUCCGUAAGAAUCUAGAGAUUUUUAAGAUUAAAGUACUAAUUUAAU
Metarhizium album ARSEF 1941 is the source of this 586-nucleotide ribosomal RNA. It matches the Rfam family "Bacterial large subunit ribosomal RNA", at positions 2049 to 2912 of the family's 2925-position model. The record is from Rfam. NCBI's taxonomy places the organism in Eukaryota, Fungi, Ascomycota, Sordariomycetes, Hypocreales, Clavicipitaceae.